This 725-nucleotide ribosomal RNA is filed under the name uncultured bacterium. Its description in RNAcentral is "bacterial SSU rRNA". It matches the Rfam family "Bacterial small subunit ribosomal RNA", at positions 771 to 1501 of the family's 1533-position model. The record is from RNAcentral.
AACAGGAUUAGAUACCCUGGUAGUCCACGCCCUAAACGAUGUCUACUAGUUGUCGGGUCUUAAUUGACUUGGUAACGCAGCUAACGCGUGAAGUAGACCGCCUGGGGAGUACGGUCGCAAGAUUAAAACUCAAAGGAAUUGACGGGGACCCGCACAAGCGGUGGAUGAUGUGGAUUAAUUCGAUGCAACGCGAAAAACCUUACCUACCCUUGACAUGGCUGGAAUCCCUGAGAGAUUGGGGAGUGCUCGAAAGAGAACCAGUACACAGGUGCUGCAUGGCUGUCGUCAGCUCGUGUCGUGAGGUGUUGGGUUAAGUCCCGCAACGAGCGCAACCCUUGUCAUUAGUUGCUACGAAAGAGCACUCUAAUGAGACUGCCGGUGACAAACCGGAGGAAGGCGGGGAUGACGUCAAGUCCUCAUGGCCCUUAUGGGUAGGGCUUCACACGUCAUACAAUGGUACAUACAGAGCGCCGCCAACCCGCGAGGGGGAGCUAAUCGCAGAAAGUGUAUCGUAGUCCGGAUUGUAGUCUGCGACUCGACUGCAUGAAGUUGGAAUCGCUAGUAAUCGCGGAUCAGCAUGUCGCGGUGAAUACGUUCCCGGGUCUUGUACACACCGCCCGUCACACCAUGGGAGCGGGUUUUACCAGAAGUAGGUAGCUUAGCCGUAAGGAGGGCGCUUACCACGGUAGGAUUCGUGACUGGGGUGAAGUCGUAACAAGGUAACC